GGGCCCUUAGCUCAGUCGGUAGAGCAACUGACUUUUAAUCAGUAGGUCGCUGGUUCGAACCCAGCAGGGCUCACCA
RNAcentral lists this transfer RNA (76 nucleotides) under Agrobacterium sp. RNAcentral's name for it is "tRNA-Lys". It matches the Rfam family "tRNA". Rfam says of the family: Transfer RNA (tRNA) molecules are approximately 80 nucleotides in length. The record is from RNAcentral. Lineage: Bacteria; Pseudomonadati; Pseudomonadota; Alphaproteobacteria; Hyphomicrobiales; Rhizobiaceae. RNAcentral also lists the same sequence under 432 other names.